Molecule: ribosomal RNA, 119 nt
Filed under: Octopus vulgaris (common octopus)
Lineage: Eukaryota; Metazoa; Mollusca; Cephalopoda; Octopoda; Octopodidae
Also listed under: 1 other name
Source: RNAcentral
GCUUACGGCCAUAUCACGUUGAAAGCACCGGUUCCCAUCCGAUCACCGAAGUUAAGCAACAUCGAGCCUAGUUAGUACUUAGAUGGGUGACCGCUUGGGAAACCUAGGUGCUGCAAGCA